CGUAGCCCCCGUGUUGGAGGCCGCGAGAAUCAGAGUGCCAUGGUGCCCCUUUAAUAAAAUCGUGGUGUCCUCAUUAACCAGGACUCACACAAAAGAGUACUUAAAUGGAAGGAAAUACGUUUUUCAAUACUACGAUUCAAAGGAUAAAUGCGCUGUUAUUACCUUCGCAGAUGCGGAAUGUGAUACCAAAUGCGAAUUGCACGCUUGGCAUAGCAAGCGUAAUGCUCAAAUGGUUAAUUGCCUAAGAGAAUAUGAAUACCUGUGCAAGCA
Rhipicephalus sanguineus (brown dog tick) is the source of this 270-nucleotide long non-coding RNA. RefSeq lists it as uncharacterized. The record is from RefSeq and is a predicted model, not a curated record. The transcript is spliced from 4 exons. NCBI's taxonomy places the organism in Eukaryota, Metazoa, Arthropoda, Arachnida, Ixodida, Ixodidae.